Molecule: ribosomal RNA, 558 nt
Filed under: Fischerella thermalis CCMEE 5273
Lineage: Bacteria; Bacillati; Cyanobacteriota; Cyanophyceae; Nostocales; Hapalosiphonaceae
Description: bacterial LSU rRNA
Rfam family: Bacterial large subunit ribosomal RNA
Source: RNAcentral
CUUGUCGGGUAAGUUCCGACCCGCACGAAAGGCGUAACGACUUGGGCGCUGUCUCAACGAGAGACCCGGUGAAAUUGUAGUACCCGUGAAGAUGCGGGUUACCCGCGACAGGACGGAAAGACCCCGUGGAGCUUUACUGCAGCCUGAUAUUGAAUUUUGGUACGAUCUGUACAGGAUAGGUGGGAGCCAGCGAAGCCGGACCGCCAGGUUCGGUGGAGGCAAUGGUGGGAUACCACCCUGAUCGUGCUGGAGUUCUAACCGACAUCCGUGAUCCGGAUGCGGGAGAGUGUCAGGUGGGCAGUUUGACUGGGGCGGUCGCCUCCUAAAAGGUAACGGAGGCGCCCCAAGGUUCCCUCAGCGCGGUUGGAAAUCGCGCACCAGAGUGCAAAGGCAGAAGGGAGCUUGACUGCGAGACCUACCAGUCGAGCAGGGACGAAAGUCGGGCUUAGUGAUCCGGUGGUUCCGAGUGGAAGGGCCAUCGCUCAACGGAUAAAAGCUACCCCGGGGAUAACAGGCUAAUCUCCCCCAAGAGUCCACAUCGACGGGGAGGUUUGGCAC